GACGAACGCUGGCGGCGUGCCUAAUACAUGCAAGUUGAGCGAUGAAGAUUGGUGCUUGCACCAAUUUGAAGAGCAGCGAACGGGUGAGUAACGCGUGGGGAAUCUGCCUUUGAGCGGGGGACAACAUUUGGAAACGAAUGCUAAUACCGCAUAACAACUUUAAACAUAAGUUUUAAGUUUGAAAGAUGCAAUUGCAUCACUCAAAGAUGAUCCCGCGUUGUAUUAGCUAGUUGGUGAGGUAAAGGCUCACCAAGGCGAUGAUACAUAGCCGACCUGAGAGGGUGAUCGGCCACAUUGGGACUGAGACACGGCCCAAACUCCUACGGGAGGCAGCAGUAGGGAAUCUUCGGCAAUGGACGAAAGUCUGACCGAGCAACGCCGCGUGAGUGAAGAAGGUUUUCGGAUCGUAAAACUCUGUUGGUAGAAAAGAACGUUGGUGAGAGUGGAAAGCUCAUCAAGUGACGGUAACUACACAGAAAGGGACGGCUAACUACGUG
This 497-nucleotide ribosomal RNA is filed under the name uncultured bacterium. RNAcentral describes it as "partial 16S ribosomal RNA". It matches the Rfam family "Bacterial small subunit ribosomal RNA", at positions 28 to 507 of the family's 1533-position model. The record is from RNAcentral.